CUGGAUUUCUUGGCUGUUACCUUAGUAUUAGUUCUUGAUUGCAGCAUAUCAACCUUGUUAACAGCCCUCAACCCAUUGUGAGUCAGAGCAUGGUUCCUCAGCCCUAUCUGUGACAAGUUGGCUCUGGUGUCUACAGAGGCUGCUCCACUGCAGACAUUUGAGCUUCUUGACACAAAGUGUGAAGCUGUGAUGCUUGCCAUGUGUGAUACCGCGGUCUACAAGAAGGGAGGGGGUAUAUUAACGUUCAGAAUGAGAAUCUACGAGAGAAUAAGCUACAGUCUAAUACCAACUUAAAGGAACAGCAUAGCAUUGCAAAACUUUGUUUUAUAUUUUACCCUCCAGAAAUUGAUUUCUGACAUAAAUGCACUUAAGAAAGAGUCUUCACGUUUAUCAUUGAUGAUUCCUCAUUCACUCAAUAAAUAAAUCAUAUCUUUUCCAUCGUGCUCCUUUCUAAUGCUCUGGUGUCUACGGAGGCUGCUCCACUGCAGACAUUUGAGCUUCUUGACACAAAGUGUGAAGCUGUGAUGCUUGCCAUGUGUGAUAUCACAGUCUACAAGAAUGAAGUGGGUAUAUUAGCGUUCAGAAUGAGAAUCUACGAGAGACUAAGCUACAGUCUUAUACCACCAACUUAAAGGAACAGCAUAGCAUUGCAAAACUUUGAUGUAUACUCUAGCCUCCAGAAAUUGAUUACUGACAUAAAUGCACUUAAGAGCCUUCACGUUUAUCAUUGAUGAUUCCUCAUUCGUGCAAUAAAUAAAUCAAAUCUUUUUUAUCAACAACAACAACAAAAAAAAAACAAGUGUAAUCCCACAAAAGUGGGAUCCGGAGAGGGUAGUUGAU
This 840-nucleotide long non-coding RNA is filed under the name Nicotiana benthamiana. Its description in RNAcentral is "long non-coding RNA (NBEN_LNC033870)". Lineage: Eukaryota; Viridiplantae; Streptophyta; Magnoliopsida; Solanales; Solanaceae. The record is from RNAcentral.